CACAGUGUACACAUUGUUCAUUCCUCAAACCUGUCCUGAUCACGAUUUACAUCCUGUAUUAUACGCCAGCGCUGCACUCACUAUUCUGCUGGUGCAGUCACUGUGUACAUACAUUAUAUUACUUAUCCUGUACUCAUCCUGAUAAGCAUGCUGUAUUAUACUCCAGAGCUGCAUUCACUAUUCUGCUGGUGGAGUC
Long non-coding RNA from Bufo bufo (common toad), 196 nucleotides. RefSeq lists it as uncharacterized. The record is from RefSeq and is a predicted model, not a curated record. The transcript is spliced from 3 exons. NCBI's taxonomy places the organism in Eukaryota, Metazoa, Chordata, Amphibia, Anura, Bufonidae.